UACGGAGGGGGCUAGCGUUGUUCGGAAUUACUGGGCGUAAAGCGCACGUAGGCGGCUUCGCAAGUCAGGGGUGAAAGCCCGGGGCUCAACCCCGGAACUGCCUGUGAGACUGCGUCGCUUGAAUCCGGGAGAGGCGGGUGGAAUUCCUGGUGUAGAGGUGAAAUUCGUAGAUAUUCGGAAGAACACCGGUGGCGAAGGCGGCCCGCUGGGCCGGUACUGACGCUGAGGUGCGAAAGCGUGGGUAGCAAACAGG
This 253-nucleotide ribosomal RNA is filed under the name uncultured bacterium. RNAcentral's name for it is "partial 16S ribosomal RNA". It matches the Rfam family "Bacterial small subunit ribosomal RNA", at positions 524 to 776 of the family's 1533-position model. The record is from RNAcentral.